UAAGCCGGCCAUAGCGAAAGGGAGCGACCCGGACCCAUUCCGAACCCGGAAGUCAAACCUAUCGUUGCUGCUGAAUACUGACCUGCGUGAGCGGUUGGGAAACAGCAGUGCUGGCGUUC
RNAcentral lists this ribosomal RNA (119 nucleotides) under Nitrososphaeraceae archaeon. The record is from RNAcentral. Lineage: Archaea; Thermoproteati; Nitrososphaerota; Nitrososphaeria; Nitrososphaerales; Nitrososphaeraceae.